Molecule: long non-coding RNA, 788 nt
Organism: Solenopsis invicta (red fire ant)
Lineage: Eukaryota; Metazoa; Arthropoda; Insecta; Hymenoptera; Formicidae
Exons: 2
Source: RefSeq, a predicted model, not a curated record
UUUUUUUUUUAAUGAACACAUUAAAAUAAAAAAUUAAAUUUAAUGAUUUUUAACGUUUUAAUAUAUAUAUAUUUAAACGUAAAUAUAAAUAAAAUUAAUAAUAUUUAAACAUUUAUGAAUAUGAAAUAUACACAUAGAGGAAGAGAAAGGGGGAGGAGAGAGAGAUUUUCGCAUAAUUUUUCUGAACAGCUUUUUUAAAAAAUAGUUUUUCACUAAAUUAUCAAAAAUCAUUAAAAACCUCCAAUCUUGUCCAAAAUCACCAGCAUGGUAACACUGUCCGCGGCUGCGCGCCGUCUAUCUAUCUCCUUCACCUCUCUAUACUCCCUCUUUAGCAUCUUUCUCGCUUCGUGGGUCGUGCGCUGCUAACAGCGAGAGCAAAUAGGAUCCUUCAGCUACCAAUCACGUGGUUCUUUUCGUUAGGAUAAACAAAUAUGAAAAGUAAAUAACUUGUCGAUUUCUAUGCGAAGUUUCUUAUCUUUUUAAAGUUUUUUCCUAAAGAAAGUUAUCUGAUUAUUAUACUAUAAAUUAAAAUAAAUUAAAGAAUUACAUUAUUUAAAAUUCCAAAAAUUUCUAACGGAAAAUCUUAAUUGGAGCAUAAAAACAAAAGUUUCGCACGAAGGAAUUCCUUCCACCAUGGUACGAAGGCUGAUAACGAGACGUGAUGUGAUGUGACGUGACGUAGAGUAAGGCAGAGAAAAAUGUAGAGACGUAAGAAAUGUGUUGGAUGUCUCAUCUAAUAAGUGUGUCGAAGAGACGAGCCGAAGACAAAUCAAUAAAUACCCGUGUUU